Long non-coding RNA from Anguilla anguilla (European eel), 290 nucleotides. RefSeq lists it as uncharacterized. NCBI's taxonomy places the organism in Eukaryota, Metazoa, Chordata, Actinopteri, Anguilliformes, Anguillidae. The transcript is spliced from 2 exons. The record is from RefSeq and is a predicted model, not a curated record.
UCCAUUAUUGUUGCCUGGGCUAGCUUCACACUCCAGUGUUGAGUCUCGUUCCACUGGCAUUAUAUUUACAGUCGGAUCUCAUUUUCAAGUGAAAACAACUCAUGUUAUCAACCCAGCUUCCUUUCUUCUGCAAGUGACUUACGUCAGAGUCCUCCCCAGGAAUCGCCUCAUCUCCUGAACCCUCCUCUUCAUCAGAAGACUCUGCAGCAGGGAGGGAAAAAAAAACACAAACGCCAUCAUUCCCAAGCCCAGCGACGUUCCCUGUGGAAAAACGGGAUCUGCCACACACA